AAAGUCGUAACAAGGUUUCCGUAGGUGAACCUGCGGAAGGAUCAUUACAGAAGGUAACCUUUUUGGUUCACUCUUCAUAUCCCUUUGUCUACCUACUCUGUUGCUUCCAUGGUGCCAGCCAGCUUGGCUCCGGACGGGUGCUUAACCGCCUCUGUUUGGAAGUGCCCAUGGGUGGUCCCUUGUCCGGUGACUUCUGUUGCCUGGGUUGGGGAUCUUAACUUUAAAACCCUUUUGUGAUAAAUUUGUCUGAGUAAAACAAAAUAAAAAUAAAACUUUCAACAACGGAUCUCUAGGCUCUU
Molecule: unclassified non-coding RNA, 299 nt
Filed under: Ascomycota sp.
Lineage: Eukaryota; Fungi; Ascomycota
Description: partial contains small subunit ribosomal RNA, internal transcribed spacer 1, and 5.8S ribosomal RNA
Rfam family: Eukaryotic small subunit ribosomal RNA (bases 1-47)
Source: RNAcentral